Molecule: ribosomal RNA, 460 nt
Filed under: uncultured bacterium
Lineage: Bacteria
Description: partial 16S ribosomal RNA
Rfam family: Bacterial small subunit ribosomal RNA
Source: RNAcentral
CCUACGGGUGGCAGCAGUGAGGAAUAUUGGUCACUGGACGCAAGUCUGAACCAGCCAUGCCGCGUGCAGGAAGACGGCUCUAUGAGUUGUAAACUGCUUUUGUACGAGGGUAAACGCAGAUACGCGUAUCUGUCUGCAAGUAUCGUACGAAUAAGGAUCGGCUAACUCCGUGCCAGCAGCAGCGGUAAUACGGAGGAUUCAAGCGUUAUCCGGAUUUAUUGGGCGUAAAGCGCUGGUAGGCGGUAGGUCAAGUCAAGGGGGAAAUCCCCGCGCUCAACGUGGGAACUGCCUUUGAAACUGGCAAACUGGAGUGUGUGAGAGGAUAGUGGAAUUCCAGGUGUAGGAGUGAAAUCCGUAGAUAUCUGGAGGAACAUCAGUGGCGAAGGCGACUAUCUGGCACAUAACUGACGCUGAGGAGCGAAAGCGUGGGUAGCAAACAGGAUUAGAUACCCUUGUAGUC